GCCGGUGUAGCUCAGGGGUAGAGCAACUGAUUCGUAAUCAGUAGGUCGCAGGUUCAAAUCCAGUCACCGGCU
This 72-nucleotide transfer RNA is filed under the name Synechococcus sp. Its description in RNAcentral is "tRNA-Thr". It matches the Rfam family "tRNA". Rfam says of the family: Transfer RNA (tRNA) molecules are approximately 80 nucleotides in length. Their secondary structure includes four short double-helical elements and three loops (D, anti-codon, and T loops). The record is from RNAcentral. RNAcentral also lists the same sequence under 32 other names. Lineage: Bacteria; Bacillati; Cyanobacteriota; Cyanophyceae; Synechococcales; Synechococcaceae.